Molecule: ribosomal RNA, 460 nt
Filed under: uncultured bacterium
Lineage: Bacteria
Description: partial 16S ribosomal RNA
Rfam family: Bacterial small subunit ribosomal RNA
Source: RNAcentral
CCUACGGGUGGCAGCAGUGAGGAAUAUUGGUCAAUGGACGAGAGUCUGAACCAGCCAAGUAGCGUGAAGGAUGACUGCCCUAUGGGUUGUAAACUUCUUUUAUAUGGGAAUAAAAUGUUCCACGUGUGGGAUUUUGUAUGUACCAUAUGAAUAAGGAUCGGUUAACUCCGUGCCAGCAGCCGCGGUAAUACGGAGGAUCCGAGCGUUAUCCGGAUUUAUUGGGUUUAAAGGGAGCGUAGGUGGAUUGUUAAGUCAGUUGUGAAAGUUUGCGGCUCAACCGUAAAAUUGCAGUUGAAACUGGCAGUCUUGAGUACAGUAGAGGUGGGCGGAAUGCGUGGUGUAGCGGUGAAAUGCUUAGAUAUCACGAAGAACUCCGAUUGCGAAGGCAGUUCACUGGACUGCAACUGACACUGAGGCUCGAAAGUGUGGGUAUCAAACAGGAUUAGAUACCCCUGUAGUC